UGGCAGUGAGCUAUCGUAGC
RNAcentral lists this microRNA (20 nucleotides) under Ciona intestinalis (vase tunicate). Its description in RNAcentral is "cin-miR-4091-5p". The record is from miRBase by way of RNAcentral. Lineage: Eukaryota; Metazoa; Chordata; Ascidiacea; Phlebobranchia; Cionidae.